UACGUAUGGAGCAAGCGUUAUCCGGAUUUACUGGGCGUAAAGGGAGCGUAGACGGCAGUGCAAGUCCGGAGUGAAAGCCCGGGGCUCAACCCUGGGACUGCUCUGGAAACUGUAAAGCUGGAGUGCGGGAGGGGCAGGCGGAAUUCCUGGUGUAGCGGUGAAAUGCGUAGAUAUUAGGAGGAACACCAGUGGCGAAGGCGGCUUACUGGACUGUAACUGACGUUGAGGCUCGAAAGCGUGGGGAGCAAACAGG
Molecule: ribosomal RNA, 253 nt
Filed under: uncultured Eubacteriales bacterium
Lineage: Bacteria; Bacillati; Bacillota; Clostridia; Eubacteriales
Description: uncultured Clostridiales bacterium partial 16S ribosomal RNA
Rfam family: Bacterial small subunit ribosomal RNA
Source: RNAcentral